This 579-nucleotide ribosomal RNA is filed under the name Pantoea sp. EECC-235. Its description in RNAcentral is "bacterial SSU rRNA". It matches the Rfam family "Bacterial small subunit ribosomal RNA", at positions 80 to 653 of the family's 1533-position model. Lineage: Bacteria; Pseudomonadati; Pseudomonadota; Gammaproteobacteria; Enterobacterales; Erwiniaceae. The record is from RNAcentral.
UUGCUCCUUGGGUGAGAGUGGCGGACGGGUGAGUAAUGUCUGGGGAUCUGCCCGAUAGAGGGGGAUAACCACUGGAAACGGUGGCUAAUACCGCAUAACGUCGCAAGACCAAAGAGGGGGACCUUCGGGCCUCUCACUAUCGGAUGAACCCAGAUGGGAUUAGCUAGUAGGCGGGGUAAUGGCCCACCUAGGCGACGAUCCCUAGCUGGUCUGAGAGGAUGACCAGCCACACUGGAACUGAGACACGGUCCAGACUCCUACGGGAGGCAGCAGUGGGGAAUAUUGCACAAUGGGCGCAAGCCUGAUGCAGCCAUGCCGCGUGUAUGAAGAAGGCCUUCGGGUUGUAAAGUACUUUCAGCGGGGAGGAAGGCGAUGCGGUUAAUAACCGCGUCGAUUGACGUUACCCGCAGAAGAAGCACCGGCUAACUCCGUGCCAGCAGCCGCGGUAAUACGGAGGGUGCAAGCGUUAAUCGGAAUUACUGGGCGUAAAGCGCACGCAGGCGGUCUGUUAAGUCAGAUGUGAAAUCCCCGGGCUUAACCUGGGAACUGCAUUUGAAACUGGCAGGCUUGAGUCUUGUA